Molecule: ribosomal RNA, 379 nt
Filed under: uncultured eukaryote
Lineage: Eukaryota
Description: partial 18S ribosomal RNA
Rfam family: Eukaryotic small subunit ribosomal RNA
Source: RNAcentral
CAAUAGCGUAUAUUAAAGCUGUUGCGGUUAAAAAGCUCGUAGUUGGAUUUCUGUCAAGGACAACUGGUCCGCCCUCCGGGUGAGCACAUAGUUUGGUCUUGGCAUCUUGCUGGAAACUGUUGCUGCACUUGGUUGUGUGGCGCAGCAUCCAGCACUUUCACUUUGAGGAAAUUGGAGUGUUUCAAGCAGGCACAUGCCUUUGGACACAGUAGCAUGGAAUAAUUAGAUUGGGCUUUGCUCCAAUUUGUCGGUUUCUGGAGCUGAGGUGAGAAUUAAUGGGGAUUGUUGGGGGCAUCCGAAUUUAGCCGUCAGAGGUGAAAUUCUUGGAUCUGCUAAAGACGGACAACUGCGAAAGCGUUUGCCCAGGAUGUUUUCAUUG